RNAcentral lists this ribosomal RNA (610 nucleotides) under uncultured bacterium. Its description in RNAcentral is "bacterial SSU rRNA". It matches the Rfam family "Bacterial small subunit ribosomal RNA", at positions 202 to 812 of the family's 1533-position model. The record is from RNAcentral.
UAAAGAUUCAUCGCUGAUAGAUAGGCAUGCGUUCCAUUAGGCAGUUGGCGGGGUAACGGCCCACCAAACCGACGAUGGAUAGGGGUUCUGAGAGGAAGGUCCCCCACAUUGGUACUGAGACACGGACCAAACUCCUACGGGAGGCAGCAGUGAGGAAUAUUGGUCAAUGGGCGUAAGCCUGAACCAGCCAAGUCGCGUGAGGGAUGAAGGUUCUAUGGAUCGUAAACCUCUUUUAUAAGGGAAUAAAGUGCGGGACGUGUCCCGUUUUGUAUGUACCUUAUGAAUAAGGAUCGGCUAACUCCGUGCCAGCAGCCGCGGUAAUACGGAGGAUCCGAGCGUUAUCCGGAUUUAUUGGGUUUAAAGGGUGCGUAGGCGGCCUUUUAAGUCAGCGGUGAAAGUCUGUGGCUCAACCAUAGAAUUGCCGUUGAAACUGGGAGGCUUGAGUAUGUUUGAGGCAGGCGGAAUGCGUGGUGUAGCGGUGAAAUGCUUAGAUAUCACGCAGAACCCCGAUUGCGAAGGCAACCUGCCAAGCCAUGACUGACGCUGAUGCACGAAAGCGUGGGGAUCAAACAGGAUUAGAUACCCUGGUAGUCCACGCAGUAAACGAUGA